This 82-nucleotide microRNA precursor is filed under the name Bombyx mori (domestic silkworm). Its description in RNAcentral is "microRNA bmo-mir-3377 precursor". The record is from miRBase by way of RNAcentral. Lineage: Eukaryota; Metazoa; Arthropoda; Insecta; Lepidoptera; Bombycidae.
CUGGGGAUAUUUAAAUGAAGUUAUGAAGUCAGGAUACGUAAAUUUACGUCUUAUCCUUUCAUAGGUUCUUGAUUUGUAACCG